This 365-nucleotide long non-coding RNA is filed under the name Lonchura striata (white-rumped munia). RNAcentral describes it as "domestica (Bengalese finch) lncRNA (ENSLSDG00000012627.1)". The record is from RNAcentral. Lineage: Eukaryota; Metazoa; Chordata; Aves; Passeriformes; Estrildidae.
CCUGCGUCUACCUGGGGGUACGGACCAGCGACCUUCAGGCCAGGGUCGCGGCCAUCGAAGGCGCUCGAGGGGGCUUCUCCGCCGCCGCCCCGGUCCCGCCGCUGCCCGGCUUUUCCUUGGAGCAGCUGAACGCGAUGAUGCAGGAGAAAGUGGAGCGACUUCUCGCCCAGAAAUCCUACGAGCACUUGGCAAAAAUACGAGUAGCGAGAGAAGCGGCUCCAGAGUGCAGCUGUCCACCAGGUCCUCCAGGGAAAAGAGGUAAGCGGGGAAGAAGAGGAGAGACUGGUAAGUUUUUAAUUUCCUAAGAUCUAUUGUCAUGUGAUGUUUUUGUGAGGAUGUGUACCCAGCAUGCCUUGAUUUUUAGU